Molecule: ribosomal RNA, 253 nt
Filed under: uncultured bacterium
Lineage: Bacteria
Description: partial 16S ribosomal RNA
Rfam family: Bacterial small subunit ribosomal RNA
Source: RNAcentral
UACAGAGGUCUCAAGCGUUGUUCGGCUUCAUUGGGCGUAAAGGGUGCGUAGGCGGCGCGGUAAGUCGGGUGUGAAAUCUUGGAGCUUAACUCCGAAACUGCAUUCGAUACUGCCGUGCUUGAGGACUGGAGAGGAGACUGGAAUUUACGGUGUAGCGGUGAAAUGCGUAGAUAUCGUAAGGAAGACCAGUGGCGAAGGCGGGUCUCUGGACAGUUCCUGACGCUGAGGCACGAAGGCCAGAGGAGCAAACGGG